GAGGCCCCCCACCAACCAGGGAGCCUCAUGUGGGGCUUGAUCCCAGGACCCUUGAUCCCUGGAACCAUGACCGGAGCUGAAGGAAGACACUUAAUCGACUGAGCCACCCAGGUGCUCCUACUUGAAGAUUUCAAAGAGUGAAAAUCCUAAAUAUUUUUACUACAAGAAAGUAAUGGUAGUGAUGUGAGAUAUGGAACGUAACAUUAUAAAAUGUCAGAACUAGAGGAGUUCAAGAAGAUCAAUUUGUUCAAAUCUGUAAUUUACAAUUAAGAAACAGUUAUCAACCUAAAAGGAAAUCACAUAACUAAGUAUUAACAGGUAGAGGUUGCUUUUCCUCAAAAAUCACCGAACCAGCCCCUCACAUUACCUAAGACCAGAUGAACCAAUAUCCUGGAGAAACCACCAAAGAGAGAUUACCUUCAAACCUGCUGGAAAAGACCUUAUCAAUGACUCCUGUCUCCAAUACAGAAGUUAAAUAAUGAGAAGUUGUUCCUUGGAUACCUAUUUCUCAACCACACAUCCAACAAGAAUUGGAAGUUGCACCUACUCCACAUCUUAAACUUGUUUGGAGAAGUUUAGAAGCAAUCGGUGUGCAUAGAAAUGAACUACUAACACAAGAUAUUUGGAAAAUGCAUAGGAGUACCACAUAGAGGUUCCCCUAAAACCACUGGAAAAGUAUUCUC
Long non-coding RNA from Canis lupus familiaris (dog), 683 nucleotides. RefSeq lists it as uncharacterized. Lineage: Eukaryota; Metazoa; Chordata; Mammalia; Carnivora; Canidae. The transcript is spliced from 3 exons. The record is from RefSeq and is a predicted model, not a curated record.